CUACCGUAAAAACGAGCCGACGUCGUUUGACGUUAUCUCCACCAUCGAAGGGCAAAACAUUUAAUUAUUACAUACAGUAGAUGUGUUAUAUUUGUGAAUCAAUCAUUAUUAUGGUUGUCUCAUGUUCAGCAUUUGGAUGUACCUACCAAUAGGAAAUACAAAGGUGGAAGUAUUCAGUUCCAUAAAUUUCCACAGAAUUACUAAAAAAAUGGAUAAUUGAAGUAAAAAGAAAAAAAAUUGUACCUACAAAGUUCAGUUCAUUAUGUAGUGAAGACUUUAAAGCUGAAGAUUAUCAGAUUCGGCCUGGGGCGUUAUCUUUCAAAAACUAAUGCAUUUCCAUCUAUAUUUAAAGGGUUUCCAAGUCAUUUACAAAAAAAAAAAAAUGCCUGUUAAACGUCGUAUAUUAAAGAAAAUUAUGGUUAAAAUUAACUAUAUCUAGUACCCACCUACCUAUAUAAAUCACAAUAUAUUAAUGAAUCCAUAUUUUAGACCUAUGAAGCAGAUGUAAAAGUUCAACAACAAUUAACACUUGGUGGUUAAAAAUGUGUAAUAAUUUAGUUUUAAGAUAAUUUAUAUAUACUUAUUUAUUUAUUUGGA
Melanaphis sacchari is the source of this 597-nucleotide long non-coding RNA. RefSeq lists it as uncharacterized. The record is from RefSeq and is a predicted model, not a curated record. NCBI's taxonomy places the organism in Eukaryota, Metazoa, Arthropoda, Insecta, Hemiptera, Aphididae. The transcript has 3 exons.